Molecule: ribosomal RNA, 253 nt
Filed under: uncultured bacterium
Lineage: Bacteria
Description: partial 16S ribosomal RNA
Rfam family: Bacterial small subunit ribosomal RNA
Source: RNAcentral
UACGAAGGGUGCUAGCGUUAAUCGGAAUUACUGGGCGUAAAGAGCGCGUAGGCGGUAUUGUUUGUCGUGUGUGAAAGCCCCGAGCUUAACUUGGGAAUUGCGCACGAAACGGCAGUACUAGUGUCAACUAGGGGGUGACGGAAUUUCCUGUGUAGCAGUAAAAUGCUUAGAGAUUGGAAGGAACACCGGUAGCGAAGGCUGUCACCUGGGGUUGUACAGACGCUGUGGCGCGAAAGCGUGGGGAGCAAACAGG